UCAGGCCUAACACAUGCAAGUCGUGCGAGAAAGUAUCUUCGGAUAUGAGUAGAGCGGCGGACGGGUGAGUAACGCGUAGGAAUCUACCUAGUAGAAGGGGAUAGCCCGAGGAAACUCGGAUUAAUACCGUAUACCUCCUUAGGGAGAAAGAGGGCCUCUCUUGAUGCUCUCGCUAUUAGAUGAGCCUGCGUAAGAUUAACUUGUUGGUGAGGUAAUGGCUCACCAAGGCUACGAUCUUUAGCUGGUCUGAGAGGACGAUCAGCCACAUUGGGACUGAGACACGGCCCAGACUCCUACGGGAGGCAGCAGUGGGGAAUAUUGGACAAUGGGCGCAAGCCUGAUCCAGCCAUACCGCGUGUGUGAAGAAGGCCUUCGGGUUGUAAAGCACUUUAAGCAGGGAGAAAAAGUUAUAAGUUAAUACCUUAUAACCGUGAUGUUACCUGCAGAAUAAGCACCGGCUAAUUCCGUGCCAGCAGCCGCGGUAAUACGGAAGGUGCAAGCGUUAAUCGGAAUUACUGGGCGUAAAGCGCGCGUAGGUGGUUUGUUAAGUUGGAUGUGAAAGCCCUGGGCUCAACCUAGGAACUGCAUCCAAAACUAACUCACUAGAGUACGAUAGAGGGAGGUAGAAUUCAUAGUGUAGCGGUGGAAUGCGUAGAUAUUAUGAAGAAUACCGGUGGCGAAGGCGGCCUCCUGGAUCUGU
RNAcentral lists this ribosomal RNA (700 nucleotides) under uncultured Gammaproteobacteria bacterium. RNAcentral describes it as "bacterial SSU rRNA". It matches the Rfam family "Bacterial small subunit ribosomal RNA", at positions 42 to 738 of the family's 1533-position model. Lineage: Bacteria; Pseudomonadati; Pseudomonadota; Gammaproteobacteria. The record is from RNAcentral.